CAGGGUGACAGCCCCGUACACAAAAGCGCAUGUGCUGUGAGCUCGAUGAGUAGGGCGGGACACGUGGUAUCCUGUCUGAAUAUGGGGGGACCAUCCUCCAAGGCUAAAUACUCCUGACUGACCGAUAGUGAACCAGUACCGUGAGGGAAAGGCGAAAAGAACCCCGGCGAGGGGAGUGAAAAAGAACCUGAAACCGUGUACGUACAAGCAGUGGGAGCACCCUUUGGGGUGUGACUGCGUACCUUUUGUAUAAUGGGUCAGCGACUUAUAUUCUGUAGCAAGGUUAACCGUAUAGGGGAGCCGGAGGGAAACCGAGUCUUAAUUGGGCGUUAAGUUGCAGGGUAUAGACCCGAAACCCGGUGAUCUAGCCAUGGGCAGGUUGAAGGUUGGGUAACACUAACUGGAGGACCGAACCGACUAAUGUUGAAAAAUUAGCGGAUGACCUGUGGCUGGGGGUGAAAGGCCAAUCAAACCGGGAGAUAGCUGGUUCUCCCCGAAAGCUAUUUAGGUAGCGCCUCGUGAAUUCAUCUCCGGGGGUAGAGCACUGUUUCGGCUAGGGGGCCAUCCCGGCUUACCAACCCGAUGCAAACUGCGAAUACCGGAGAAUGUUAUCACGGGAGACACACGGCGGGUGCUAACGUCCGUCGUGAAGAGGGAAACAACCCAGACCGCCAGCUAAGGUCCCAAAGUCAUGGUUAAGUGGGAAACGAUGUGGGAAGGCCCAGACAGCCAGGAUGUUGGCUUAGAAGCAGCCAUCAUUUAAAGAAAGCGUAAUAGCUCACUGGUCGAGUCGGCCUGCGCGGAAGAUGUAACGGGGCUAAACCAUGCACCGAAGCUGCGGCAGCGACACUCAGGUGUUGUUGGGUAGGGGAGCGUUCUGUAAGCCUGCGAAGGUGGCCUGUGAGGGUUGCUGGAGGUAUCAGAAGUGCGAAUGCUGACAUAAGUAACGAUAAAGCGGGUGAAAAGCCCGCUCGCCGGAAGACCAAGGGUUCCUGUCCAACGUUAAUCGGGGCAGGGUGAGUCGACCCCUAAGGCGAGGCCGAAAGGCGUAGUCGAUGGGAAACGGGUUAAUAUUCCCGUACUUGGUGUUACUGCGAAGGGGGGACGGAGAAGGCUAUGUUGGCCGGGCGACGGUUGUCCCGGUUUAAGCGUGUAGGUGUGUGUUCCAGGUAAAUCCGGUUCACUUUAACACUG
Molecule: ribosomal RNA, 1194 nt
Filed under: Salmonella enterica subsp. enterica serovar Arechavaleta
Lineage: Bacteria; Pseudomonadati; Pseudomonadota; Gammaproteobacteria; Enterobacterales; Enterobacteriaceae
Description: partial 23S ribosomal RNA
Rfam family: Bacterial large subunit ribosomal RNA
Source: RNAcentral